This 840-nucleotide ribosomal RNA is filed under the name Polymyxa graminis. Its description in RNAcentral is "partial ribosomal RNA". The stretch from base 1 to 365 matches the Rfam family "Eukaryotic small subunit ribosomal RNA", at positions 1470 to 1831 of the family's 1831-position model. Lineage: Eukaryota; Endomyxa; Phytomyxea; Plasmodiophorida; Plasmodiophoridae. The record is from RNAcentral.
CCCUUAGAUGUUCUGGGCCGCACGCGCGCUACAAUGCUAGGUUCAACGAGUCGAUUUCGUACUUGGCCGAGAGGCCUGGUUAAUCUUCUGAAAUCCUAGCGUGCUUGGGCUUGCCUCUUGCAACUAGAGGCACCAACGAGGAAUUCCUAGUAGACGCAGGUCAUCAACCUGCAUCGAUUACGUCCCUGCCCUUUGUACACACCGCCCGUCGCUUCUACCGAUUGGUCGUCCCGGUGAACAAUCGGGAGGCCGUGCUCAUGGUCAGCAAUGGCCGGAGCGCGGUUGAACUUUUGUAAAUUUGGACGACUAGAGGAAGAAGAAGUCGUAACAAGGUUUCCGUAGGUGAACCUGCGGAAGGAUCAUUAGCGUUGAAUUGGUCUUGGUGCCAUGCGAAAAACAUGUGGAUUGUGGGCUAUGUGACCCCUCUGUGGGGGGUAUUUUGUCGCGAACUCGGGAGAAUUGGCUAAUGGAAUCAUAAAGAUAAACAAAAUACAACUCUUAGCAAUGGAUAUCUUGGUUCCCGCAACGAUGAAGAACGCAGCGAAAUGCGAUACGUAAUGCGAAUUGCAGAAUUCAGUGAAUCAUCGAAUCUUUGAACGCAAGUUGCGCUUUCGAGAGCCCUCGGAAGCAUGCCUCUCUGAGUAUCGGUUUCUAUAUCUCACACAUUGCGUUGUGGAGAAUGGGAGUUGCAGCCCGCAUGCAUCUCUUGAAGUCAGCACGUCGGCCAAAGUCCAUCGGGUUCUUGGAACGACAAUCCGUCAUGGCGCCAGAAAACCAUACACAAGAUCUCAGAUGAGGUAAGACUACCCGCCGAAUUUAAGCAUAUCAAUAAGCGGAGGA